This 253-nucleotide ribosomal RNA is filed under the name uncultured bacterium. RNAcentral's name for it is "partial 16S ribosomal RNA". It matches the Rfam family "Bacterial small subunit ribosomal RNA", at positions 524 to 776 of the family's 1533-position model. The record is from RNAcentral.
UACGGGGGGGGCAAGCGUUGCUCGGAAUAACUGGGCGUAAAGGGCGCGUAGGCGGGAUGGCAAGUCAGUCGUGAAAUCUCUCGGCUCAACCGAGAAACGUCGGCUGAUACUGCCGUUCUUGAGGGAUGCAGAGGAGACUGGAAUUCCCGGUGUAGCGGUGAAAUGUGUAGAGAUCGGGAGGAACACCGGUGGCGAAGGCGGGUCUCUGGGCAUCUCCUGACGCUGAGGCGCGAAAGCGUGGGGAGCAAACAGG